AGGCGGCGGUGCUGCUGCAUGCGCUGGCGUGCCAGCCGCGGCUGCGCCUGAGCGCGGUCGCAUACACGGGCGCGCUGGUCGCCGGUCACGCCUCCUGGCUGGGCUUUGCGCUGGAGCCCAUGCACGACCGCCUGCGCCAGCUGCGCAUCCACGUCGCACCCGCAGAGGCCGUCCAGUUCGCGGACCCCUGGGCCGUUGCGUCCUCCAGCAUGUCGGGCGCUUCGUGGGGCUCCAGGUGCUGCUCUCGCUUGAAUUUCUUCCUCGUUCGCUGCAGACAUGUGAUCGUUUAAUCCUUGGUGUCACCAUGGUGCGUUUGAGUUUAGGGCGUAUGGCUGGCUCCAGAUGACCUGGCAGAAAGAUGUGAAGGGGCAAUGGUCUACCAUUCAGAUUUACAGAGUCAGUAGGAGCCAUUGUUUUGAUUGCAAACUGAUUGCAUUGUGGAAACCCGUGCGCAGGCUGACGGGCUCACAGCGAGACGCUGGAGGCUCGGCACACUCUGCUCUGGCCAGCUGCCGCCUGGAAUUUCUGGACGCGCCAGCUGAGCUUGCGCAAUUUCGAAAAGCUCCCGAUGCAGAGCCAGAUCAGGGCGCAGGCCCGGCACCAGAUCAGGCGCUUGAGCAUGCGGAGGAGGGCACGCGGCUGGAGACGGUAUC
RNAcentral lists this long non-coding RNA (653 nucleotides) under Coccomyxa subellipsoidea. RNAcentral describes it as "long non-coding RNA (CSUB_LNC000508)". Lineage: Eukaryota; Viridiplantae; Chlorophyta; Trebouxiophyceae; Coccomyxaceae. The record is from RNAcentral.